RNAcentral lists this ribosomal RNA (208 nucleotides) under uncultured bacterium. RNAcentral describes it as "partial 16S ribosomal RNA". It matches the Rfam family "Bacterial small subunit ribosomal RNA", at positions 568 to 774 of the family's 1533-position model. The record is from RNAcentral.
UGCGUAGGCGGCUUUGCAAGUCUGAUGUGAAAUCUCCGGGCCCAACCCGGAAAUGGCAUUAGAAACUGUGAGGCUGGAGGCUUGGAGGGGGAACGUGGAAUACUUGGUGUAGCAGUGAAAUGCGUAGAUAUCAAGUGGAACACCGGUGGCGAAGGCGAGUUCCUGGACAAGACCUGACGCUGAGGCACGAAAGCCGGGGGAGCAAACA